UUUCCGUAGGUGAACCUGCGGAAGGAUCAUUACAGAGUCCGGCCCCCGCCCCGGUCGCCCCCGCCUCCGCCUCCGCGCGGGGCGGGGAGCCGGCCGGUGCGGGGUGCCACCUUCAAACCCGGGGCGGGGGCCCCACCACUCCCGAGAGGGAGCGGAGGGUGCCCCCGUCCCACCCUUUUCAAACCCGUGGACUCGAGGAAAAUCCAGGGAGCGGCUCGCGCUCCGAACCGACUCGCCCCGGGGGACCGGUCCUCCGGUCCGCCGGCGGCACACCUUCAUGAAUCAAUGCACGCAAAACUUUCAGCAACGGAUCUCUUGGUUCUC
This 324-nucleotide unclassified non-coding RNA is filed under the name plant metagenome. RNAcentral's name for it is "partial contains small subunit ribosomal RNA, internal transcribed spacer 1, and 5.8S ribosomal RNA". The record is from RNAcentral.